Molecule: signal recognition particle RNA, 99 nt
Filed under: Betaproteobacteria bacterium
Lineage: Bacteria; Pseudomonadati; Pseudomonadota; Betaproteobacteria
Description: signal recognition particle sRNA small type
Rfam family: Bacterial small signal recognition particle RNA
About the family: The signal recognition particle (SRP) is a universally conserved ribonucleoprotein involved in the co-translational targeting of proteins to membranes.
Source: RNAcentral
CGUCUGCAUCUUCGCGACGAUCGUCCGUGAACCCCGUCAGGCCCGGAAGGGAGCAGCGGUAGCGGUACCUGAUCGGGCGCCGGAGUCCUGCGGGCGCGG